Molecule: ribosomal RNA, 301 nt
Filed under: uncultured bacterium
Lineage: Bacteria
Description: partial 16S ribosomal RNA
Rfam family: Bacterial small subunit ribosomal RNA
Source: RNAcentral
CAGCAGCCGCGGGAAUACGAGGGGGGCAAGCGUUGUUCGGAAUUAUUGGGCGUAAAGGGUGCGUAGGCGGUUUCGUAAGUCUGAUGUGAAAUCUAUGGGCUCAACCCAUAGUCUGCAUCGGAAACUGCGAGGCUUGAGAGUGGGAGAGGUGAGUGGAAUUUCCGGUGUAGCGGUGAAAUGCGUAGAUAUCGGAAGGAACACCUGUGGCGAAAGCGGCUCACUGGACCAUUUCUGACGCUGAUGCACGAAAGCUAGGGGAGCAAACAGGAUUAGAUACCCGGGUAGUCCCUGUCUCUUAUAC